GUGCCAGCCGCCGCGGUAAAACGUAGGAGGCAAGCGUUAUCCGAAUUUACUGGGCGUAAAGCGUGUGCAGGUGGCUGGGUAAGUUGGAUGUGAAAUCUCCUGGCUCAACUGGGAGAGGUCGUUCAAAACUGCCGAGCUCGAGGGCGGUAGAGGGAGGUGGAAUUCCGGGUGUAGUGGUGAAAUGCGUAGAUAUCCGGAGGAACACCUGUGGCGAAAGCGGCCUCCUGGACCGUACCUGACGCUAAGACACGAAAGCUAGGGGAGCGAACGGGAUUAGAUACCCUUGUAGUCC
This 292-nucleotide ribosomal RNA is filed under the name uncultured bacterium. Its description in RNAcentral is "partial 16S ribosomal RNA". It matches the Rfam family "Bacterial small subunit ribosomal RNA", at positions 505 to 796 of the family's 1533-position model. The record is from RNAcentral.